AAGCUCCAUAAUUCCUUGUUACCUACAAGAAAUGGAUAUAUUUUCAGGUUAAGGUACAGCUGUAAAAUGUCAAUAACCAGUAGAACACACACGUGCAUAUCAAAUGCAUCUUGAACAUCAUAUUAUAACCCAUUGAGUUGUAAGCAAACAGACUGCAUCCAAAUAUGAAACAACAACAGAUAUAAAAGGAGUAUCACUUCAUCUUCCUGGUUAAGAAAUUGAUGACUCCCAUU
Molecule: unclassified non-coding RNA, 233 nt
Filed under: Hevea brasiliensis (rubber tree)
Lineage: Eukaryota; Viridiplantae; Streptophyta; Magnoliopsida; Malpighiales; Euphorbiaceae
Source: RNAcentral